RNAcentral lists this ribosomal RNA (465 nucleotides) under uncultured bacterium. RNAcentral's name for it is "partial 16S ribosomal RNA". It matches the Rfam family "Bacterial small subunit ribosomal RNA", at positions 28 to 507 of the family's 1533-position model. The record is from RNAcentral.
GACGAACGCUGGCGGCGUGCUUAACACAUGCAAGUCGAACGGAAAGGCCCGGCUUCCGGGGUACUCAGGUGGCAAACGGGUGGGUACCCCGUGGGGAAUUUGCCCUCCACUUCGGGUUAGCCCGGGAAACCGGGUUCUAUAACGGAUAAGAGCCAAUUUUUGUGGGGUGGUUUGGAAGUUUUUUUCGGUGUAGGAUGAGCUCGCGGCCUAUCAGCUUGUUGGUGGGGUAAUGGCCUACCAAGGCGGCGACGGGUAGCCGGCCUGAGAGGGUGGACGGCCACAUUGGGACUGAGAUACGGCCCAGACUCCUACGGGAGGCAGCAGUGGGGAAUAUUGCACAAUGGGCGCAAGCCUGAUGCAGCGACGCCGCGUGGGGGAGGACGGCCUUCGGGUUGUAAACUCCUUUCGCUAGGGACGAAGCUUUUUGUGACGGUACCUAGAUAAGAAGCACCGGCUAACUACGUG